Molecule: ribosomal RNA, 254 nt
Filed under: uncultured bacterium
Lineage: Bacteria
Description: partial 16S ribosomal RNA
Rfam family: Bacterial small subunit ribosomal RNA
Source: RNAcentral
UACGUAGGUGGCAAGCGUUGUCCGGAUUUAUUGGGCGUAAAGCGCGCGCAGGCGGUGAGGUAAGUCCGUCGUGAAAUCUCCCGGCUCAACUGGGAGGGUGCGGGGGAGACUGCCUGACUGGAGGCACUCAGAGGCCGGUGGAAUUCCCGGUGGAGUGGUGAAAUGCGUAGAGAUCGGGAGGAACACCAGUGGCGAAGGCGGCCGGCUGGGGGUGACCUGGACGCUGAGGCGCGAAAGCGUGGGGAGCGAACCGG